Molecule: ribosomal RNA, 363 nt
Filed under: uncultured Leucobacter sp.
Lineage: Bacteria; Bacillati; Actinomycetota; Actinomycetes; Micrococcales; Microbacteriaceae
Description: bacterial SSU rRNA
Rfam family: Bacterial small subunit ribosomal RNA
Source: RNAcentral
AGAGUUUGAUCAUGGCUCAGGACGAACGCUGGCGGCGUGCUUAACACAUGCAAGUCGAACGAUGAAGCCCAGCUUGCUGGGUGGAAGAGUGGCGAACGGGUGAGUAACACGUGAGUAACCUGCCCUUCACUCUGGGAUAAGCGCUGGAAACGGUGUCUAAUACUGGAUACGACCCUUACAGGCAUCUGUUGGGGGUGGAAAGAUUUAUCGGUGAAGGAUGGGCUCGCGGCCUAUCAGGUAGUUGGUGAGGUAACGGCUCACCAAGCCGACGACGGGUAGCCGGCCUGAGAGGGUGACCGGCCACACUGGGACUGAGACACGGCCCAGACUCCUACGGGAGGCAGCAGUGGGGAAUAUUGCACA